RNAcentral lists this unclassified non-coding RNA (406 nucleotides) under soil metagenome. RNAcentral's name for it is "partial contains 5.8S ribosomal RNA, internal transcribed spacer 2, and large subunit ribosomal RNA". The stretch from base 1 to 121 matches the Rfam family "5.8S ribosomal RNA", at positions 35 to 154 of the family's 154-position model. The record is from RNAcentral.
GAUGAAGAACGUAGCGAAAUGCGAUAAGUAAUGUGAAUUGCAGAAUUCAGUGAAUCAUCGAAUCUUUGAACGCACCUUGCGCCCUUUGGCCAUUCCGAAGGGCAUGCCUGUUUGAGUAUCAUGAACACCUCAACUCUUCAUGGUUUUCCAUGAUGAGCUUGGACUUUGGGGGUCUUGCUGGCCUGUGGGUCGGCUCCUCUCAAAUGAAUCAGCUUGCCGGUUUUUGGUGGGCAUCACAGGUGUGAUAACUAUCUACGCUUGUGGUUUUCCACCAGGGUAACCUUCAGCAGUGGAGGUUCACUGGAGCUCAUAAAUGUCCCUUCUCAGUGAGGACAGCUCUUUGAACGUUUGAUCUCAAAUCAGGUAGGACUACCCGCUGAACUUAAGCAUAUCAAUAAGCGGAGGA